This 144-nucleotide non-coding RNA is filed under the name Psychrobacter pasteurii. Lineage: Bacteria; Pseudomonadati; Pseudomonadota; Gammaproteobacteria; Moraxellales; Moraxellaceae. The record is from RNAcentral.
CCUGUUUUUCUAUGAACAGUAUCCUAGGUGCAUGUGCAUAACUGGUAACAGUUUUGUGCAAAGCUGCACUAACAAUGUGCCAAGCAGGAAUGCCGAGACGAAACCGUGAGGAAGUAGUCAAGCACUGAUAGUAUUAAUCGGUCA